RNAcentral lists this ribosomal RNA (253 nucleotides) under uncultured bacterium. RNAcentral describes it as "partial 16S ribosomal RNA". It matches the Rfam family "Bacterial small subunit ribosomal RNA", at positions 524 to 776 of the family's 1533-position model. The record is from RNAcentral.
UACGAGGGGGGCGAGCGUUGUUCGGAAUUAUUGGGCGUAAAGGGCGCGUAGGCGGUCGGAUAAGUCUUGUGUGAAAUCUUCGGGCUCAACUCGAAGUCUGCACAGGAAACUAUCUGGCUUGAGUGUGGGAGAGGUGAGUGGAAUUCCUGGUGUAGCGGUGAAAUGCGUAGAUAUCGGGAGGAACACCAGUGGCGAAGGCGAUCACCUGGGGUUGUUCUGACGCUGAGGUGCGAAAGCGUGGGGAGCAAACAGG